Molecule: ribosomal RNA, 1402 nt
Filed under: metagenome
Description: bacterial LSU rRNA
Rfam family: Bacterial large subunit ribosomal RNA
Source: RNAcentral
CCAAAAUCCGGGGGGCUGAGCUGAGGCGUGAUGACGAGGAACCACGGUUCCGAAGUGAUUGAUACCAAGCUUCCAGGAAAAGCCACUAAGCUUCAGUCUAGAGUUGACCGUACCGCAAACCGACACAGGUGGGCAGGAUGAAAAUUCUAAGGCGCUUGAGAGAACUCAGGAGAAGGAACUCGGCAAAUUAACACCGUAACUUCGGGAGAAGGUGUGCCCCGGUAGCGUGUAGAGACUUGCUCUCGAAGCGCGAUGGGGUUGCAGUGAAAUGGUGGCUGCGACUGUUUAAUAAAAACACAGCACUCUGCAAACACGAAAGUGGACGUAUAGGGCGUGACGCCUGCCCGGUGCCGGAAGGUUAAGUGAUGGGGUGCAAGCUCUUGAUCGAAGCCCCGGUAAACGGCGGCCGUAACUAUAACGGUCCUAAGGUAGCGAAAUUCCUUGUCGGGUAAGUUCCGACCUGCACGAAUGGCGUAACGAUGGCCACACUGUCUCCUCCUGGGACUCAGCGAAGUUGAAAUGUUUGUGAAGAUGCAAUCUACCCGCGGCUAGACGGAAAGACCCCAUAACCUUUACUGUAGCUUUGCAUUGGACUUUGAACCGGUUUGUGUAGGAUAGGUGGGAGACUGUGAAGCCGGGACGCUAGUUUCGGUGGAGUCAACCUUGGAAUACCACCCUGAUUUGUUUGAGGUUCUAACCUUGGUCCGUGAAUCCGGAUCGGGGACCGUGCAUGGUAGGCAGUUUGACUGGGGCGGUCUCCUCCCAAAAGGUAACGGAGGAGUACGAAGGUACGCUUAGGGCGGUCGGACAUCGCCCACAAAGUGCAAUGGCAAAAGCGUGCUUGACUGCGAGACCCACAAGUCGAGCAGGUACGAAAGUAGGUCAUAGUGAUCCGGUGGUUCUGUAUGGAAGGGCCAUCGCUCAACGGAUAAAAGGUACUCUGGGGAUAACAGGCUAAUUCCUCCCAAGAGUUCAUAUCGACGGGGGAGUUUGGCACCUCGAUGUCGGCUCAUCACAUCCUGGGGCUGUAGUCGGUCCCAAGGGUAUGGCUGUUCGCCAUUUAAAGUGGUACGCGAGCUGGGUUUAAAACGUCGUGAGACAGUUUGGUCCCUAUCUGCCGUGGGCGCUGGAAAUUUGAAGGGGGCUGCUCCUAGUACGAGAGGACCGGAGUGGACGAACCUCUGGUGUACCGGUUAUGACGCCAGUCGUAUCGCCGGGUAGCUAAGUUCGGAAGAGAUAAACGCUGAAAGCAUCUAAGCGUGAAACUCGCCUUAAGAUAAGAUUUCCCGGAGUCUUGAACUCCCUGAAGGGUCGUCGAAGACCACGACGUUGAUAGGUCAGGUGUGGAAGCGCAGCAAUGCGUUAAGCUAACUGAUACUAAUUGCCCGUGCGGCUUGAUCCC